Molecule: ribosomal RNA, 485 nt
Filed under: uncultured bacterium
Lineage: Bacteria
Description: bacterial SSU rRNA
Rfam family: Bacterial small subunit ribosomal RNA
Source: RNAcentral
GAUGAACGCUAGCGGCAGGCCUAACACAUGCAAGUCAGGGGUAACAUAGGAAAGCUUGCUUUUCUGAUGACGACCGGCGCACGGGUGCGUAACGCGUAUACAACUACCCUUUAGUGGGGAAUAGCCCAGGGAAACUUGGAUUAAUGCCCCAUAGUAUAUAGACUUCUCCUGAAGUUUAUAUUAAACAUUUAUGGCUAUUAGAUGGGUAUGCGUCCUAUUAGUUAGUUGGUAAGGUAACGGCUUACCAAGGCAGCGAUAGGUAGGGGUCCUGAGAGGGAGAUCCCCACACUGGUACUGAGACACGGACCAGACUCCUACGGGAGGCAGCAGUGAGGAAUAUUGGACAAUGGGCGAGAGCCUGAUCCAGCCAUGCCGCGUGCAGGAAGACUGCCCUAUGGGUUGUAAACUGCUUUUACAGAGGAAGAACCACCCCCACGUGUGGGGGUUUGACGGUACUCUGCGAAUAAGGAUCGGCUAACUCCGUG